UACGAAGGGGGCUAGCGUUGUUCGGAAUUACUGGGCGUAAAGGGCGCGUAGGCGGCCGUGCAAGUCAGAUGUGAAAGCCCUGGGCUCAACCCAGGAUGUGCAUUUGAUACUGCAUGGCUAGAGUGUCGGAGAGGAUGGUGGAAUUCCCAGUGUAGAGGUGAAAUUCGUAGAUAUUGGGAAGAACACCGGUGGCGAAGGCGACCAUCUGGACGACAACUGACGCUGAGGCGCGAAAGCGUGGGGAGCAAACAGG
RNAcentral lists this ribosomal RNA (253 nucleotides) under uncultured bacterium. RNAcentral's name for it is "partial 16S ribosomal RNA". It matches the Rfam family "Bacterial small subunit ribosomal RNA", at positions 524 to 776 of the family's 1533-position model. The record is from RNAcentral.